Molecule: ribosomal RNA, 463 nt
Filed under: uncultured Anaerolineaceae bacterium
Lineage: Bacteria; Bacillati; Chloroflexota; Anaerolineae; Anaerolineales; Anaerolineaceae
Description: bacterial SSU rRNA
Rfam family: Bacterial small subunit ribosomal RNA
Source: RNAcentral
CUUAAAUGAAUUGACGGGGCCCGCACAAGCAGCGAGCGUGUGGUUUAAUUCGUUGCUACACGAAGAACCUUACCUGGGUUUGACAUAUAGGUUGUAGGGAACUGAAAGGGACCGACCUUCGGGAGCCUAUACAGGUGUUGCAUGGCUGUCGUCAGCUCGUGUCGUGAGAUGUUCGGUUAAGUCCGCUAACGAGCGCAACCCUCGUCGUAUGUUAUAUGUGUCAUACGAGACUGCCGGUAAAAGCCGGAGGAAGGUGAGGAUGAUGUCAAGUCAGCAUGACCUUUAUAUCCAGGGCUACACACACGCUACAAUGGUCUGUACAAUGGGUAGCCAAGCCGCGAGGCGGAGCCAAUCCUGAAAGCAGGCCUCAGUUCAGAUUGCAGUCUGCAACUCGACUGCAUGAAGCCGGAGUUGCUAGUAACCGCAGGUCAGCAAUACUGCGGUGAAUACGUUCCCGGGUCUU